UGUAGCUUUGCAUUGGACUUUGAACCAAUCUGUGUAGGAUAGGUGGGAGGCUUUGAAGCGGGGACGCCAGUUCCCGUGGAGCCAUCCUUGAAAUACCACCCUGGUUUGUUUGAGGUUCUAACCUUGGUCCGUAAUCCGGAUCGGGGACAGUGCAUGGUAGGCAGUUUGACUGGGGCGGUCUCCUCCUAAAGUGUAACGGAG
RNAcentral lists this ribosomal RNA (201 nucleotides) under Pseudoduganella ginsengisoli. RNAcentral describes it as "Bacterial large subunit ribosomal RNA". It matches the Rfam family "Bacterial large subunit ribosomal RNA", at positions 2105 to 2305 of the family's 2925-position model. The record is from Rfam by way of RNAcentral. Lineage: Bacteria; Pseudomonadati; Pseudomonadota; Betaproteobacteria; Burkholderiales; Oxalobacteraceae.